Molecule: ribosomal RNA, 439 nt
Filed under: uncultured bacterium
Lineage: Bacteria
Description: partial 16S ribosomal RNA
Rfam family: Bacterial small subunit ribosomal RNA
Source: RNAcentral
CCUACGGGAGGCAGCAGUGGGGGAUAUUGCACAAUGGGGGGAACCCUGAUGCAGCGACACCGCGUGGGUGAAGAAGCGCCUCGGCGCGUAAAGCCCUGUCAGCAGGGAAGAAAAUGACGGUACCUGAAGAAGAAGCCCCGGCUAACUACGUGCCAGCAGCCGCGGUAAUACGUAGGGGGCAAGCGUUAUCCGGAUUUACUGGGUGUAAAGGGGGCGCAGACGGCGAUGCAAGCCAGGAGUGAAAGCCCGGGCCCAACCCCGGGACUGCUCUUGGAACUGCGUGGCUAGAGUGCAGGAGGGGCAGGCGGAAUUCCUGGUGUAGCGGUGAAAUGCGUAGAUAUCAGGAGGAACACCGGUGGCGAAGGCGGCCUGCUGGACUGCAACUGACGUUGAGGCCCGAAAGCGUGGGGAGCAAACAGGAUUAGAUACCCCUGUAGUC